GACGAACGCUGGCGGCGUGCUUAACACAUGCAAGUCGAACGGAAAGGCCCUGCUUUUGUGGGUUGCUCGAGUGGCGAACGGGUGAGUAACACGUGAGUAACCUGCCCUUUACUUUGGGAUAACUUCAGGAAACUGUGGCUAAUACCGGAUAGGAGCUCCUGCUGCAUGGUGGGGGUUGGAAAGUUUCGGCGGUUGGGGAUGGACUCGCGGCUUAUCAGCUUGUUGGUGGGGUAGUGGCUUACCAAGGCUUUGACGGGUAGCCGGCCUGAGAGGGUGACCGGCCACAUUGGGACUGAGAUACGGCCCAGACUCCUACGGGAGGCAGCAGUGGUGAAUAUUGCAAAAUGGGCGGAAGCCUGAUGCAGCAACGCCGCGUGCGGGAUGACGGCCUUCGGGUUGUAAACCGCUUUCGCCUGUGACGAAGCGUGAGUGACGGUAAUGGGUAAAGAAGCACCGGCUAACUACGUG
This 468-nucleotide ribosomal RNA is filed under the name uncultured bacterium. RNAcentral describes it as "partial 16S ribosomal RNA". It matches the Rfam family "Bacterial small subunit ribosomal RNA", at positions 28 to 507 of the family's 1533-position model. The record is from RNAcentral.